RNAcentral lists this long non-coding RNA (1331 nucleotides) under Mus caroli (Ryukyu mouse). RNAcentral's name for it is "lncRNA (MGP_CAROLIEiJ_G0004219.1)". The record is from RNAcentral. Lineage: Eukaryota; Metazoa; Chordata; Mammalia; Rodentia; Muridae.
AAAGGCGUUGGAAAGCGUGGUGGCCAAGGUGAUGAGCGCCAACAAAGCAACCAGCAGGACUUUCCAGGGCAAGGCGAUGGAGUCCUGGUAAAUGUAGCCGUCGGCGCUGCAGUUGUGGGAGAGGUGAAAUCAUCAGUGAAGACUCCAGCACUGAACAACCCUUUCCUGUAUAGCGAUAGCCCAUAGCCAGGCUCCUCUCAAACAGCCUCACUAUCUCUGAAAGUUGAAUUUCAAAGCAAAACUCCUGCAAGUAUCAUUUACAAGAAGGAUCUAUGCAAGGUACAAAGCAAAUCUCAAGCAAACUGAAACUGACAGUUAAUCAAAAAAGAUGAUUAAGAAAAUAACUGUAAUCAAAGGAAAUAACUUCUCCAUCAACAAUCAGUGGCUUUCAUCAGAGUAUUAUGUCACAGCAACAGAAGAGAAACGAGGACAACAUCAAUAAAGUUGCAUUGCAUAAAUUUGCCAGCACCCAAAUCUAACUUGACCCUCCCAAGUAUACAGAGCCAUGUUCUAUCUUGUCCUUGUCAAAUACCCACAUCUUUCUCUCAGGUACUUCCAAAGGCUGAUGGCUGACACCUUGGCAACAAAAAUGUAUAAUUACAUUGUCUUGAUCCAUUCUUCACUCAGUAGAUUAUUGCUUUGGAUCCUAAGUGCCAAUAUUUUUUCUGUAUAUAUUAAAUGAAAAGGUCUAAGACAGUGGUGACUUCUCUUGUUAGAAAAGUUUACUUUUCUGACAAAUGUAUACUCUACUUUCAAUAUUAGAGUAUGCUUUUAUUAUGUCUAAUUUUUUCUCUACUACCGCUUGACUAUAACAGACUAGUUAUGAGAAUUUGUCCUAAGGUAGUAAAUUUUAAGGCUAAAACUUAGGGCUGUGGUGAGUUCUCAGGUAAUUGUCAGUUUGUUUCCAAAAAGAGUAUGAGACCCCAGUUCUCUCUCAUCCUUCUUUCUGCUUCUUAAUCAUGAGGUAAAGCAGUUUAACAUUUGCCCCAUCUUGGUCCUCUGGCAUCCUUAUAUCCAGUCCAAAUAUAGGUUAACGAAAUCUUAGAAUUUCCAAUCCAAAAGCAUGAGCCAAUAUGCACCUUUUAUAUUCAUUAAUCAAUCGUUUAACAUUUUGGUUGUUAUAGUAACAAGAAGCUAACUAACAAAGUCCCUUCAUGUCCUGAGAGAGGGAUCAUAUAUUUUUUUAAAUGUUUUUUUUUUGGUGUUAUUUUCAUUAUGUUUGCAUUUUAAGUAUGAGUGUGCAUAGAAAAUUGGCAUUUAGUUGAGUAAGAUUUACAAAUUUAAAAUUGCUGAGUAUUUUGGGCCAUAAAGAUUGGGUUGUCAUUUGUUUU